GCCUGGGUGGCGGAAUUGGUAGACGCAAGGGACUUAAAAUCCCUUGGGGCUAUGCCUCGUGCGAGUUCGAUCCUCGCCCCAGGCACCA
Molecule: transfer RNA, 88 nt
Filed under: Desulfobacterales bacterium
Lineage: Bacteria; Pseudomonadati; Thermodesulfobacteriota; Desulfobacteria; Desulfobacterales
Description: tRNA-Leu
Rfam family: tRNA
About the family: Transfer RNA (tRNA) molecules are approximately 80 nucleotides in length.
Source: RNAcentral